AAUCUGCCCUUGGGUUCGGAAUAACAGUGAGAAAUUACUGCUAAUACCGGAUGAUGACUUCGGUCCAAAGAUUUAUCGCCCAAGGAUGAGCCCGCGUAAGAUUAGCUAGUUGGUGAGGUAAAGGCUCACCAAGGCGACGAUNNNUANNNNNUCUGAGAGGAUGAUCAGCCACACUNNNACUGAGACACGGCCCAGACUCCUACGGGAGGCAGCAGUGGGGAAUAUUGGACAAUGGGCGAAAGCCUGAUCCAGCAAUGCCGCGUGAGUGAUGAAGGCCUUAGGGUUGUAAAGCUCUUUUACCAGGGAUGAUAACGACAGUACCUGGAGAAUAAGCUCCGGCUAACUCCGUGCCAGCAGCCGCGGUAAUACGGAGGGAGCUAGCGUUGUUCGGAAUUACUGGGCGUAAAGCGCACGUAGGCGGCCAUUCAAGUCAGAGGUGAAAGCCCGGGGCUCAACCCCGGAACUGCCUUUGAAACUAGAUGGCUUGAAUCUUGGAGAGGCGAGUGGAAUUCCGAGUGUAGAGGUGAAAUUCGUAGAUAUUCGGAAGAACACCAGUGGCGAAGGCGACUCGCUGGACAAGUAUUGACGCUGAGGUGUGAAAGCGUGNGGAGCAAACAGGAUUAGAUACCCUGGUAGUCCACGCCGU
Molecule: ribosomal RNA, 646 nt
Filed under: uncultured bacterium
Lineage: Bacteria
Description: bacterial SSU rRNA
Rfam family: Bacterial small subunit ribosomal RNA
Source: RNAcentral